UAUAGCAUUAACUGAGGACAUUAAUGAAAUUGCGUUUGUUGCGCAGAAUACAUGAUAAUUUUGAUCUUCAAUUGCUUCCAGUUUGGGAUAUUUGUGACUUAUUUAUCCUCCAUAUCACCAUUCUAAGUUCUAAUAAAAAAAUCUUAUGACACAAUAAUAUUGCAUAACAUCAAAUUUCAAUCAGAAAAUAAUUUUUGGUGGAAAAUAGGUAGAAUUACUGCUGUAUAAUUAGGUAUUAAUUAGCUUAAUGACUCAAAGUUCAAUAAUUUAUUUAAGUAAAAUAAAAGCAACAUUUAGACCAAGCAAAUAUGUUAUUUUAUUAAAUAUAGGAUGCUAGACAAAAAAAUUGACAGCUUUUGAAGUUCUGCUCAAGAAAAACUUGGUAGAUGCAGAAGUGCCCAUGAACUUCUAAUUUCAUUUUAUUAUAUUGUAUUUGUUUAUUUGUCUAUUUGUAUUUCUUGGUAGAUGCCUCUUUGUAUUUCUUUGAUGGUAAGCAAAUGUCCAAAUGCAUGUCUAUUUAUUCAUUAGAAAUAAUUUUUUUAGUGUAUUCCUGUCCUUAGUUGGCUGAUAUUGCUUCUUAGGCUACAUUUGAA
This 593-nucleotide unclassified non-coding RNA is filed under the name Hevea brasiliensis (rubber tree). Lineage: Eukaryota; Viridiplantae; Streptophyta; Magnoliopsida; Malpighiales; Euphorbiaceae. The record is from RNAcentral.